Molecule: long non-coding RNA, 2528 nt
Filed under: Pongo abelii (Sumatran orangutan)
Lineage: Eukaryota; Metazoa; Chordata; Mammalia; Primates; Hominidae
Description: lincRNA
Source: RNAcentral
GUGAGACAUGCCUUUCGCCUUCCACCAUGAUUGUGAGGCCUCCCCAGCCACAUGGAACUCAUACACUUGAUAAUUCAUUACUUAUUAAGCUUCUUCUCAGCUGAGGUCAUGCAAAAAUGACUCACUUGCUUAUGAUACUUUCCUUGAGGAAUUAAACCAUAAACUCCCUCCUUGCAUUGUGUGUCGUGGGAGAAGAUUCCUAGAAGCAAUAUUCAUCAUCUCUCUUUUCAGUGAUGGACAACUCUCUGCUGUGCCAAAUAUACUAACUUUAACCACCCACUGCCAAACUCACACCUCCUUGUUCAACAAGCCAGUUAAGGGCGUGAAUGAAUCUACGAUGCUGAAGAGCCCUGUGGGCAUCUUCUCACUGGGCACUGGCUAGAAUGCAAUCGGAUUAGACUUUCACAAUUGCUUUGUUUCCAAGCCAGGAAGGAGAAAUCGAAGGCAAUUCACCACCUUUCUAUAUCCAAGAUGAAAACACAGCACUCUCCUAAACUUCAGAAGUAUAACUCAGUGGGUUAGUACUUCAGAUCUAGCCUGAGGCAAAAUUAUGAUUUUUCCAAAAGAUUUUCUUUUUUUAGCAUUCUUUUCCUUACACACAGCCUUUGAUCAAGCUACAGUUUUGAACUGAUUACAGCUUUUGAAGCCUCAGAAGAUUUAAAGACCCACAUUGUUAACAAUGGUGUUUUAGGUGUGUAGCGUAUUACUCAGAGGAGUCGGCUAAUUCUAAGUCCUCAAGUGCUCAGAAAACAACAUUAAAAAGUCCGACAUUUGAAAAGUAUGGAACAUCAUGGAACUGGCUUUAAAAAGGUAUCCAUUCGUGGCAUGAAAAUGUGAAGAACUUUCUUUCUUUGCAAUGUGAGUUCAAGGAAACGCCCAAGAGUGGAUGUUCCAUUGUAAACGCUCUACCCCCAGCUUUUCAAAGGACACAGAAAUUGCACCCAGCAAAGAUGUCCUGUCAAAAUAAUUUAAAAGAAGAAAAAGAAAGUUGCUAGAGGGGAACUGGUACUCCAGAUCAAAAAACAAUUUUAAGUGGUCUAUUUUGGUGGUCUGUGUUGAGACAUACAACAGCCCAAGCUGCUGUUUUUCUAAGAGGUUAAAUUUCAAAAAGAGGAAACAACAGCAAACAGGCUGCCAAUUUACUCAACAAUGUCACAACUGGCUGGAGUUCUGUUCAAAGUAAAACCGCUGAUUUACAAAUUCCUGGAUUUACUCUCAAAUAUUAACACUUCUUAGGAAACUUUAGAGCUUACAUGUCACAUUUAUGACUCCUAGGCAGACACAGCCCUCUCCAAACACAUGGUCCUCAUGACAACUCUUUGCCAUGUAUUUCAGCCCCACUAAGGGAAGCCACUGUCAACUCAACCUGUGAUGCCAAGAAGCAGCCCAGGUACCAAGGAAUACAGACUGGAGUCAACAUUAGAUGCGUUUCUGUAUGGUGUAGUUUGGAGGAGGAUGUUUACAGCACAAUUCCACAAUAAUAUGCUAUAGCAGACAGAAGUUUCCCUUCUAUCAGACACAAAGAACUAGUCAGGGAACGCAAGCUGGCUAGACCACGGUUCAGUUUUUCUCGUCUCCUUUCUGCAAGUGGAAAAUCUGCUGGCUGGCAGUGGAAAUAAUAGGGAAUCCACCUCAGAAUGUUGGAGAAGAGGAUGGGGGAGGAGUUGCAGUUCAGGAAUCCUUCAAAGAAGAUGUGUGGGGAGAGGAAGACAGCACACAGAAACAGGGAGAAGUUAAGAGUAUGAACCUUACCAACAAGUAAAAAUGUGUCAUGUUAAUUUUUUCAACAUCAGCAAACAUGUCAAAAGAUGGAGCACUGGAAGCUGCAUUUUAAACAAAUGCCCCAGGUAAUGCAUACUGAAAAUGCAAUCCUGAUGUCCUAGGUGGCAGGAUUAUUGUUGUUUGGAGAAUGCUCGUGUAAAUUUUUUUUCCAGUCUUCUCUCCUCACUUUCCGUGCCUAAGGAGUCUAAGUCCCACUGCCCCUGCUAAUUGUCCCUGGUUAAUUAGAAUGAAGAAUGACCCCUGAACCAACAUGGGCCCAUGAGCCGCACUGGUGAAUUGUCAUUCAGACCCAAAGGCUGGUGAGUCUUCCUGGGCAUUGAGAAGCAACAGAAAGCCAGUAUGUUCUUUGAUUAAAGAUUAAUUUUCUAGCCCCGGAGUUGGAACUAAAAUAUGUAGAUAUGAUAGUGGCAAGAGACAGACAAAUGCCUAGGCAGAUAAGGGGUGUCCCUGUAGAAACUCUGACCCGCCCAGGUCAUUGUGCACCAGGGGUUUGCCUAAACAUGCCCAUGGUGAAAAAUUUCAUCCCUUAACACAUGCAGUGUACAGUGGCUCAGACUAAGGGCCUGCAGGCACAUUGGAAAGACAGGGUAGAGUCACCAAAAAUUCGCUCCUUAUGCAGGGGAAGAGCCUGGCCUCCAGCUUGUGUGUGGUGGCCUGGUAUUCAAUUUGUGAGAUGGAAACCUGUGUCCAGGACCCCUUUCUUUGCUGACAGCUUUCCUUUCGCUUAAUAAAUUCCACCCUCCUCA